UGACUGUUAAGAGAUUGCUUAGAAGAUUGUUAGGACAAGUAAAUGGGGGAUAUAAAAUAGCAAACAAGGCAUGAUUAUAUAAAAUUGCUAAUUCUUUUCUCUCUUCUUCUUCUUACGAGGUUGCUACCGUCGAAAUAGCGGAGUUCUUUCCUGCGUGUUCAAUUAUUGUUCUUGUCUUCUUAAUUUCUAAUGUUUGGUGCUUUCAUUGACCUUCCGCCAUGGUAGAGGGUACCCGUUUCAAACGAAUUGAUGAAUCUAUCAAGCUUCUCAGGGAUUCAUCAGUAGUGCAUGGAGAGCGUUUGGACUUCCUUCAAUCCAGUGUUAUGGAAUAACAGAAAGCCAUGUCUGAACUAAUUCUUUGACUUACUACGAUGGAUGGGUGAUUAAAGCAAGAUCUCCACAUGACCACUUCGUCUCCUUCGCAAGAUUUUUAUUCUGAUUAUCCCAAUGAUCAACAUUCGCCUGGAUCUCAAGUUUCUUCGCGGCUUAAUCAAAUCCAGACACGCACGAUACAUAUGGAUUUUCCUCUGUUUAAUGGUGAGGAUCCGCUAGGUUGGAUCUUCAAGGCAGAACGAUUCUUUGAUUAUCACCAUACUGCAAAUGAUCAAAGACUCCUUAUAUCUUCGUUCCAUACGGAUGGCAAGGCGUUAUAAUGGUUUCAAUCGAUGAGCCGCAACAGCCAAUUCGGCACUUGGCCGACGAUCACAAAGGCUUUGGAACUCCAUUUUGGUUCGUCAAAAUUUGAAGACUACCAAGGUGCUCUAGCUAAAUUGAUGCAGACAUCGUUGGUUUCAAAGUACCAGUCGUAGUUUAAAGCCCUGGCCAAUCGUACAAUCGAUAUUUCACCCUUCUUCUUGACCAGUUGUUUCGUCUCUGUUUGGCGAUCAGACAUCCGAUGUGAGGUAUUAGCUUUUAGGCCUACAUCUAUGGCCCAAGCUAUUGGAUUAGCAUGAUUACAGGAGGCCAAGAUUCAAGAAUCUAGGCAUUCAUUCUUGAAACCCAAUCAGGUCAAAAGUCCAAUUCUUCCUAGCCCUAACCCCAAUUUGCUGAUUAGCUCACAACCUCAUCGCAUUCCUUUAAGAUGCCUUUCUCCGGCUGAGAUGCAAGUUCGAAGAGACAAAGGUCUGUGUUACAACUGCGAUGAGAAAUUCGCACCAGGUCAUCGGUACAAAUCUUGUCAAUUUUUCUUGCUCGCUGGUGAGGAUGACAAUGAGUUACAGUUGUAAGAUUCAAGGAUCAAUGAACUCCAUGGUGCCAGGUUCUUUUCCAAACUAGAUCUUUGUGCUGGCUAUCACCAAAUCAGAAUUCGGUCAUCAGAUAUCCAUAAGACAGCAUUUUGCACCCACGAUGGCCAUUUUGAAUUUCUGGUCGUGCCGUUUGGUCUCACAAACGCUCCUUCCACCUUCCAAGCCACUAUAAAUUCUCUGUUUCGACCAUUCUUAAGUAAGUUUGCACUUUUUUUUUUUUUUAGGAUGUGCUGGUCUACAGUAAGUUCUGGACUGUCCAUCUGACCCAUUUAAAAGAAGUCUUGCAUGUUUUGCACCACCAUGUAUUCUAUGCUAAAAGAUGCAAGUGUUCUUUUGGACAAUCAUCGAUUUAGUACUUAGGCCAUAUGGUUUCAGCUCAAGGGGUCGAAAUGGAUAAGAAUAAAAUUUUUGCAAUUUUAGAAUGGCCUAUUCCUCGAUCACAUAAAGCCUUGUGGGAUGUUAGGUCUAAUUGGUUACUACAGGCCUUUUGUGAGAAACUAUGCCAGCAUUGCUGCUCCCUUGACAGAACUUCUUAAGAAAGGUGCUUUUACUUGGUCUACUACAGCUCAAGAGGCCUUUGAAAAGUUACAGAAGGCCAUGACGAAAGUUCUAGUUUUGGCUCUGCCAAAUUUUUCGAUACCAUUUAUUGUUGAAAUUGAUGCUUCUGGGUUUGGUAUUGGUGUUGUACUAUCACAAUACAACCACCCCAUUGCUUUCUUUAGCAGGAAAGUAUCCAAUAAAAUGCAAGCAGCUUCCACCUUUGUUCUUGAAAUGUAUACUAUUACAGGAGGCUGUUGUUAAGUGGCGUCAAUAUUUGCUUGGUAAAAAAUUUUAUAUUCGAACUGAUCAACGAAGUUUGAAAGGGUUAACUGAGCAUACAAUCCAAACUUCGGAAUAACAACAGUGGCUCUCGAAACUUUUGGGCUUUGUUUUUGAGAUCUCAUAUAGACCCGGCAAAGAAAAUGUGGUGGUCGAUGCGCUCUCUCGUGCACCUUUGGAGUUUAUGGGCUUCCUUGCAUUUUCAACUCCAUCAUUUGAUUUUUGGCUCAGUCACGUUCAGAAGUCCUCUCAAGCUUUGAACUUCAAGAUAUUUGCAUUGGCUUGGCAAGUGACCCCCCUUCUUAUUGUGGGUAUUUUCUCCGUGAUGGAUUACUAUACUAUAAAAAUCGAUUGGUGCUAGCAGCUGAUUCCUCCCUCCGCGAUAUGUUACUUCAAGAAUUUCAUUCUUCUCCUAUAGGGAGAUUUCAUCGUUGAACACAUCUCUAGUGGGUCUCUUACAGCCUCUGCCCAUUCCAGAGCGUGUUUGGGAAGAUUUUGCUAUGGAUUUCAUAACGGGUCUUCCGAAUUCAAGUGGUAAGACUCUGAUUUUUGUGGUUGUCGAUCGAUUGACCAAAUAUGGUCAUUUCAGUGCUCUGCCUAGUAAUUUCACUAGUCAUAGAGUGGCAGCAGUGUUUGCAUCCGAUAUUAUGCGGCUUCAUGGUCUCCCAUGCUCCAUUGUCAGUGAUAGGGAUCCAUAGUUUCUUAGUACCUUUUGGAAAGAGUUAUUCAGACUUCAAGACACCACACUUUCCAUAAGUAGUGCCUAUCACCCCCAGUCCGAUGGCCAGACCGGGGUGUUAAAUCGCUAUUUAGAAAUGUAUUUGAGGAGUUCUGUGUUAGAUGAACCCAAUCAAUGGGUUAAAUUUUUGUCGUGGGCUGAUUAUUGGUAUAAUACGUCUUUCCAUACGGUAGCGGGCAUGACACCUUUUCAAGUUUUGUAUAGUCGCUCCCCACCUACUAUUGUACACUACAUUCUGGGUUCAUCCCUCAAUGAGGUUGUCGACCAAGAUCUUCAAACUAGAGAUGGUGUUUUUCAACGGCUCAAACUCAACCUUACUUCUGCUCAAACGCGGAUGAAAAAUCAGGCGGAUAAACAAAGGGUGGACAAACAAUUUGGGCCUGGUGAUUGGGUAUUGUAAAACUGCAGCCUUAUCGCCAACAACCUAUUGCUUUGUAGCUCAAUCAAAAACUUGUGCGACACUUUUUUGGGCCUUUUGAACUAUAUAAACUUGAGUUGCUAGAGAUUGUGCAUAUUCAUCCUAUAUUUCACAUUUCCAUCCUCAAGAAAUAAUUGGGUAAUCCGGUGAAUCAAGUGGUUCCAUUACCACUUGUGCAACCUGCUGAUGACAUUGUUGCUCAACCGAUUGCUGUUAUGAACUACCUUCAUGUUCAGUGGUAGGGCAAUUGGGUUCUUCAGACAUUGGUACAGUGGGAGGGAUGUGUAAUAACAGUCUUAAUAAAAGCUUGUCUUAGUUA
This is a long non-coding RNA of Macadamia integrifolia, 3542 nucleotides long. RefSeq lists it as uncharacterized. The record is from RefSeq and is a predicted model, not a curated record. The transcript has 2 exons. Lineage: Eukaryota; Viridiplantae; Streptophyta; Magnoliopsida; Proteales; Proteaceae.